GGGCCUGUAGCUCAGUGGUUAGAGCAGUCGGCUCAUAACCGAUUGGUCGCUGGUUCAAUCCCAGCCGGGCCCACCA
Molecule: transfer RNA, 76 nt
Filed under: Candidatus Altimarinota bacterium
Lineage: Bacteria; Candidatus Altimarinota
Description: tRNA-Ile
Rfam family: tRNA
About the family: Transfer RNA (tRNA) molecules are approximately 80 nucleotides in length. Their secondary structure includes four short double-helical elements and three loops (D, anti-codon, and T loops).
Source: RNAcentral